AGAUUGAACGCUGGCGGCAGGCCUAACACAUGCAAGUCGAGCGGCAGCACGGGUACUUGUACCUGGUGGCGAGCGGCGGACGGGUGAGUAAUGCCUAGGAAUCUGCCUGAUAGUGGGGGAUAACGUUCGGAAACGGACGCUAAUACCGCAUACGUCCUACGGGAGAAAGUGGGGGAUCUUCGGACCUCACGCUAUCAGAUGAGCCUAGGUCGGAUUAGCUAGUUGGUAGGGUAAAGGCCUACCAAGGCUACGAUCCGUAACUGGUCUGAGAGGAUGAUCAGUCACACUGGAACUGAGACACGGUCCAGACUCCUACGGGAGCAGCAGUGGGAAUAUUGGACAA
This 343-nucleotide ribosomal RNA is filed under the name uncultured soil bacterium. RNAcentral describes it as "bacterial SSU rRNA". It matches the Rfam family "Bacterial small subunit ribosomal RNA", at positions 26 to 371 of the family's 1533-position model. The record is from RNAcentral.